This 383-nucleotide ribosomal RNA is filed under the name Strombidiidae sp. RNAcentral's name for it is "partial small subunit ribosomal RNA". It matches the Rfam family "Eukaryotic small subunit ribosomal RNA", at positions 582 to 975 of the family's 1831-position model. Lineage: Eukaryota; Ciliophora; Spirotrichea; Strombidiidae. The record is from RNAcentral.
AUUCCAGCUCCAAUAGCGUAUAUUAAAGUUGUUGCAGUUAAAAAGCUCGUAGUUGGAUUUCUGGGAGGGUGCCAAUGUCCGUCGUCGUACGUGUUGCAGCGGCGCCCUUCCAUCCUUCUGUUAACGACUUUGGGCAUUCACUUGCCGGAGUCGGGCUCAGAUAUUUUACCUUGAGAAAAUUAGAGUGUUUCAGGCAGGCCAGGCCGGAAUACAUUAGCAUGGAAUAAUGGAAUAGGACUACGGUCUCUUUGUUGGUUUGAGGGACUGCAGUAAUGAUUAAUAGGGAUAGUUGGGGGCAUUAGUAUUUAAUUGUCAGAGGUGGAAUUCUCAGAUUUGUUAAAGACUAACUUAUGCGAAAGCAUUUGCUAAGGAUGUUUUCAUUA